RNAcentral lists this small nucleolar RNA (125 nucleotides) under Dasypus novemcinctus (nine-banded armadillo). Its description in RNAcentral is "Small nucleolar RNA SNORA28 (ENSDNOG00000035087.1)". The record is from RNAcentral. Lineage: Eukaryota; Metazoa; Chordata; Mammalia; Cingulata; Dasypodidae.
AAGCAACGCUUGGCGGCAGAGGCUCAAAACCGCCUGGCCCAAUUUCCGCUUGCCAUAGCGAGAAGGCCGGUCUGUGCUGGUGUUCCGUCUUCGACGAGACAAGCUCUUACAUAGACUUAAACUGC